RNAcentral lists this ribosomal RNA (494 nucleotides) under uncultured fungus. RNAcentral describes it as "eukaryotic LSU rRNA". The stretch from base 158 to 311 matches the Rfam family "5.8S ribosomal RNA". The record is from RNAcentral. Lineage: Eukaryota; Fungi.
ACUGAGUGCGGGCUGCCUCCGGGCGCCCAACCUCCCACCCGUGAAUACCUAACACUGUUGCUUCGGCGGGGAACCCCCUCGGGGGCGAGCCGCCGGGGACUACUGAACUUCAUGCCUGAGAGUGAUGCAGUCUGAGUCUGAAUAUAAAAUCAGUCAAAACUUUCAACAGUGGAUCUCUUGGUUCCGGCAUCGAUGAAGAACGCAGCGAACUGCGAUAAGUAAUGUGAAUUGCAGAAUUCAGUGAAUCAUCGAAUCUUUGAACGCACAUUGCGCCCCUUGGUAUUCCGAGGGGCAUGCCUGUUCGAGCGUCACUAACACCCCUCAAGCCUGGCUUGGUGUUGGGCCGUGCCGGCAACGGCAGGCCCUAAGAUCAGUAGCGGUGCCCGCUCGGUGCUAAGCGUAGUAACACUCUCGCUAUGGCCCGGCGCGGGCGCCCGCUCCCCACCCCUCUUACGUUUGACCUCGGAUCAGGUAGGGAUACCCGCUGAACUUAA